GCCGCCCAGCCAGUAUGGUAGAUAUGGCACUCAGCUUGUAACCGAGUGGGUUCGGGUUCGAAUCCCGAGUAAGGCA
Molecule: transfer RNA, 76 nt
Filed under: Trichonephila clavipes
Lineage: Eukaryota; Metazoa; Arthropoda; Arachnida; Araneae; Nephilidae
Description: tRNA-Thr
Source: RNAcentral